UUAAGUUAUUAAGGGCGCACGGUGGAUGCCUUGGCACUAGAAGCCGAUGAAGGACGUUACUAACGACGAUAUGCUUUGGGGAGCUGUAAGUAAGCUUUGAUCCAGAGAUUUCCGAAUGGGGAAACCCAGCAUGAGUUAUGUCAUGUUAUCGAUAUGUGAAUACAUAGCAUAUCAGAAGGCACACCCGGAGAACUGAAACAUCUUAGUACCCGGAGGAAGAGAAAGAGAAUUCGAUUCCCUUAGUAGCGGCGAGCGAAACGGGAAGAGCCCAAACCAACAAGCUUGCUUGUUGGGGUUGUAGGACACUCUAUACGGAGUUACAAAGGACGACAUUAGACGAAUCAUCUGGAAAGAUGAAUCAAAGAAGGUAAUAAUCCUGUAGUCGAAAAUGUUGUCUCUCUUGAGUGGAUCCUGAGUACGACGGAGCACGUGAAAUUCCGUCGGAAUCUGGGAGGACCAUCUCCUAAGGCUAAAUACUCUCUAGUGACCGAUAGUGAACCAGUACCGUGAGGGAAAGGUGAAAAGCACCCCGGAAGGGGAGUGAAAUAGAACCUGAAACCGUGUGCUUACAAGUAGUCAGAGCCCGUUAAUGGGUGAUGGCGUGCCUUUUGUAGAAUGAACCGGCGAGUUACGAUUUGAUGCAAGGUUAAGCAGUAAAUGUGGAGCCGUAGCGAAAGCGAGUCUGAAUAGGGCGUUUAGUAUUUGGUCGUAGACCCGAAACCAGGUGAUCUACCCUUGGUCAGGUUGAAGUUCAGGUAACACUGAAUGGAGGACCGAACCGACUUACGUUGAAAAGUGAGCGGAUGAACUGAGGGUAGCGGAGAAAUUCCAAUCGAACCUGGAGAUAGCUGGUUCUCUCCGAAAUAGCUUUAGGGCUAGCCUCAAGUGAUGAUUAUUGGAGGUAGAGCACUGUUUGGACGAGGGGCCCCUCUCGGGUUACCGAAUUCAGACAAACUCCGAAUGCCAAUUAAUUUAACUUGGGAGUCAGAACAUGGGUGAUAAGGUCCGUGUUCGAAAGGGAAACAGCCCAGACCACCAGCUAAGGUCCCAAAAUAUAUGUUAAGUGGAAAAGGAUGUGGCGUUGCCCAGACAACUAGGAUGUUGGCUUAGAAGCAGCCAUCAUUUAAAGAGUGCGUAAUAGCUCACUAGUCGAGUGACACUGCGCCGAAAAUGUACCGGGGCUAAACAUAUUACCGAAGCUGUGGAUUGUCCUUUGGACAAUGGUAGGAGAGCGUUCUAAGGGCGUUGAAGCAUGAUCGUAAGGACAUGUGGAGCGCUUAGAAGUGAGAAUGCCGGUGUGAGUAGCGAAAGACGGGUGAGAAUCCCGUCCACCGAUUGACUAAGGUUUCCAGAGGAAGGCUCGUCCGCUCUGGGUUAGUCGGGUCCUAAGCUGAGGCCGACAGGCGUAGGCGAUGGAUAACAGGUUGAUAUUCCUGUACCACCUAUAAUCGUUUUAAUCGAUGGGGGGACGCAGUAGGAUAGGCGAAGCGUGCGAUUGGAUUGCACGUCUAAGCAGUAAGGCUGAGUAUUAGGCAAAUCCGGUACUCAUUAAGGCUGAGCUGUGAUGGGGAGAAGACAUUGUGUCUUCGAGUCGUUGAUUUCACACUGCCGAGAAAAGCCUCUAGAUAGAAAAUAGGUGCCCGUACCGCAAACCGACACAGGUAGUCAAGAUGAGAAUUCUAAGGUGAGCGAGCGAACUCUCGUUAAGGAACUCGGCAAAAUGACCCCGUAACUUCGGGAGAAGGGGUGCUCUUUAGGGUUAACGCCCAGAAGAGCCGCAGUGAAUAGGCCCAAGCGACUGUUUAUCAAAAACACAGGUCUCUGCUAAACCGUAAGGUGAUGUAUAGGGGCUGACGCCUGCCCGGUGCUGGAAGGUUAAGAGGAGUGGUUAGCUUCUGCGAAGCUACGAAUCGAAGCCCCAGUAAACGGCGGCCGUAACUAUAACGGUCCUAAGGUAGCGAAAUUCCUUGUCGGGUAAGUUCCGACCCGCACGAAAGGCGUAACGAUUUGGGCACUGUCUCAACGAGAGACUCGGUGAAAUCAUAGUACCUGUGAAGAUGCAGGUUACCCGCGACAGGACGGAAAGACCCCGUGGAGCUUUACUGUAGCCUGAUAUUGAAAUUCGGCACAGCUUGUACAGGAUAGGUAGGAGCCUUUGAAACGUGAGCGCUAGCUUACGUGGAGGCGCUGGUGGGAUACUACCCUAGCUGUGUUGGCUUUCUAACCCGCACCACUUAUCGUGGUGGGAGACAGUGUCAGGCGGGCAGUUUGACUGGGGCGGUCGCCUCCUAAAAGGUAACGGAGGCGCUCAAAGGUUCCCUCAGAAUGGUUGGAAAUCAUUCAUAGAGUGUAAAGGCAUAAGGGAGCUUGACUGCGAGACCUACAAGUCGAGCAGGGUCGAAAGACGGACUUAGUGAUCCGGUGGUUCCGCAUGGAAGGGCCAUCGCUCAACGGAUAAAAGCUACCCCGGGGAUAACAGGCUUAUCUCCCCCAAGAGUUCACAUCGACGGGGAGGUUUGGCACCUCGAUGUCGGCUCAUCGCAUCCUGGGGCUGUAGUCGGUCCUAAGGGUUGGGCUGUUCGCCCAUUAAAGCGGUACGCGAGCUGGGUUCAGAACGUCGUGAGACAGUUCGGUCCCUAUCCGUCGUGGGCGUAGGAAAUUUGAGAGGAGCUGUCCUUAGUACGAGAGGACCGGGAUGGACAUACCUCUGGUGUACCAGUUGUCGUGCCAACGGCAUAGCUGGGUAGCUAUGUGUGGACGGGAUAAGUGCUGAAAGCAUCUAAGCAUGAAGCCCCCCUCAAGAUGAGAUUUCCCAACUUCGGUUAUAAGAUCCCUCAAAGAUGAUGAGGUUAAUAGGUUCGAGGUGGAAGCAUGGUGACAUGUGGAGCUGACGAAUACUAAUCGAUCGAAGACUUAAUCAA
RNAcentral lists this ribosomal RNA (2921 nucleotides) under Staphylococcus aureus. RNAcentral describes it as "bacterial LSU rRNA". It matches the Rfam family "Bacterial large subunit ribosomal RNA". The record is from RNAcentral. Lineage: Bacteria; Bacillati; Bacillota; Bacilli; Caryophanales; Staphylococcaceae.